AAAUCAGGUAGGAUCACCCGCUGAACUUAAGCAUAUCAUUAAGCGGAGGAAAAGAAAACUAACAAGGAUUCCCCUAGUAACGGCGAGUGAAGAGGGAAGAGCUCAAAUUUGAAAGCUGGUACCUUCGGUAUCCGCGUUGUAACCUCGAGACACGUUUUCCGUGCGGCGCUAUGGACAAGUUCCUUGGAACAGGACAUCGUAGAGGGUGAAAAUCCCGUACUUGCCAUGGAUGUACCGUGCUUUGCGAUACGUGCUCUAAGAGUCGAGUUGUUUGGGAUUGCAGCUCAAAAUGGGUGGUAGACUCCAUCUAAAGCUAAAUAUCGGGGAGAGACCGAUAGCGAACAAGUACCGUGAGGGAAAGAUGAAAAGCACUUUGGAAAGAGAGUUAAAAGUACGUGAAAUUGUCGAAAGGGAAGCGCUUGAAGUCAGCCAUGCCGCUCAGGACUCAGCCUGGCUUUUGCUUGGUGUAUUUCCUGGGUAGCAAGUCAGCAUUGGUUUGGAUCGUCGGAGAAGCAUAGUCGGAAUGUGGCGCCCUCGGGCGUGUUAUAGCCUUCUAUUGGAUACGACGAUCUAGACCAAGGAACGCAGCGCGCCUUAUGGCGGGUCUUCGGACACCUUCGCGCUUAGGAUGCUGGCGUAAUGGCUUUAAGUGGCCCGUCUUGAAACACGGACCAAGGAGUCUAACAUAUGUGCGAGU
This 697-nucleotide ribosomal RNA is filed under the name Malassezia furfur. RNAcentral describes it as "LSU rRNA". It matches the Rfam family "Eukaryotic large subunit ribosomal RNA", at positions 8 to 691 of the family's 3401-position model. Lineage: Eukaryota; Fungi; Basidiomycota; Malasseziomycetes; Malasseziales; Malasseziaceae. The record is from RNAcentral.